CUACGGGUUGCUCCAGUCGAGAAUCAUCCGCAAUGGGCGAAAGCCUGACGGUGCGACGCCGCGUGGGGGAUGAAGGCCUUCGGGUUGUAAACUCCUUUCACCCGGGAAGAAAACUCACCCCGUGAAUAACGGGAUGACCUGACGGUACCGGGAGAAGAAGCCCUGGCUAACUCCGUGCCAGCAGCCGCGGUAAUACGGAGAGGGCGAGCGUUGUUCGGAUUUACUGGGCGUAAAGGGCAUGUAGGUGUCCUGAUAAGCUCUGGGUUAAAGCUCUGUGCUUAACACAGAAAUGAAUCAGAGAACUGUCAGGAUUGAGUUCAGAAGAAGAGAGUGGAAUUCUCGGUGUAGCGGUGAAAUGCGUAGAUAUCGAGAAGAACACCAGCGGCGAAGGCGGCUCUCUAUUCUGAAACUGACACUCAAAUGCGAAAGCGUGGGGAGCAAAUGGGAUUAGAUACCCUCGUAGUC
RNAcentral lists this ribosomal RNA (465 nucleotides) under uncultured bacterium. RNAcentral describes it as "partial 16S ribosomal RNA". It matches the Rfam family "Bacterial small subunit ribosomal RNA", at positions 339 to 795 of the family's 1533-position model. The record is from RNAcentral.